Molecule: non-coding RNA, 26 nt
Filed under: Cricetulus griseus (Chinese hamster)
Lineage: Eukaryota; Metazoa; Chordata; Mammalia; Rodentia; Cricetidae
Source: RNAcentral
AAAUAGGGGAAAAUUGGAAAUAAAGU